This 385-nucleotide ribosomal RNA is filed under the name uncultured bacterium. RNAcentral's name for it is "bacterial SSU rRNA". It matches the Rfam family "Bacterial small subunit ribosomal RNA", at positions 29 to 409 of the family's 1533-position model. The record is from RNAcentral.
AGUGAACGCUGGCGGCAGGCCUAACACAUGCAAGUCGAACGGCAGCACAGCAGUAGCAAUACUGUGGGUGGCGAGUGGCGGACGGGUGAGGAAUACAUCGGAAUCUGCCCAGUCGUGGGGGAUAACAUAGGGAAACUUAUGCUAAUACCGCAUACGACCUGAGGGUGAAAGCGGGGGAUCGCAAGACCUCGCGCGAUUGGAUGAGCCGAUGUCCGAUUAGCUAGUUGGCGGGGUAAUGGCCCACCAAGGCGACGAUCGGUAGCUGGUCUGAGAGGAUGAUCAGCCACACUGGAACUGAGACACGGUCCAGACUCCUACGGGAGGCAGCAGUGGGGAAUAUUGGACAAUGGGCGCAAGCCUGAUCCAGCCAUGCCGCGUGGGUGAA